RNAcentral lists this transfer RNA (82 nucleotides) under Ruminococcus sp. RNAcentral describes it as "tRNA-Leu". It matches the Rfam family "tRNA". From Rfam's summary of the family: Transfer RNA (tRNA) molecules are approximately 80 nucleotides in length. Their secondary structure includes four short double-helical elements and three loops (D, anti-codon, and T loops). Lineage: Bacteria; Bacillati; Bacillota; Clostridia; Eubacteriales; Oscillospiraceae. The record is from RNAcentral.
GCACCUGUGGUGAAACUGGCAGACACGUGAGAUUUAGGUUCUCAUGCCAAAUGGCGUGCAGGUUCAACUCCUGUCAGGUGCA